UGGGGAAUUUUGGACAAUGGGCGAAAGCCUGAUCCAGCCAUGCCGCGUGAGUGUAGAAGGCCUUCGGGUUGUAAAGCUCUUUUAGUCGGAAAGAAAGAGUUGCAAUGAAUAAUUGUGAUUUAUGACGGUACCGACAGAAAAAGCACCGGCUAACUACGUGCCAGCAGCCGCGGUAAUACGUAGGGUGCGAGCGUUAAUCGGAAUUACUGGGCGUAAAGGGUGCGCAGGCGGUCUUGCAAGUCAGAUGUGAAAGCCCCGGGCUUAACCUGGGAAUUGCGUUUGAAACUACAGGGCUAGAGUGCAGCAGAGGGGAGUGGAAUUCCAUGUGUAGCAGUGAAAUGCGUAGAGAUGUGGAAGAACACCGAUGGUGAAGGCAGCUCCCUGGGUUGACACUGACGCUCAUGCACGAAAGCGUGGGGAGCAAACA
RNAcentral lists this ribosomal RNA (427 nucleotides) under uncultured beta proteobacterium. RNAcentral's name for it is "bacterial SSU rRNA". It matches the Rfam family "Bacterial small subunit ribosomal RNA", at positions 355 to 774 of the family's 1533-position model. Lineage: Bacteria; Pseudomonadati; Pseudomonadota; Betaproteobacteria. The record is from RNAcentral.